Molecule: ribosomal RNA, 443 nt
Filed under: uncultured bacterium
Lineage: Bacteria
Description: partial 16S ribosomal RNA
Rfam family: Bacterial small subunit ribosomal RNA
Source: RNAcentral
CCUACGGGUGGCAGCAGUGGGGAAUAUUGGACAAUGGGGGGAACCCUGAUCCAGCGACGCCGCGUGAGUGAAGAAGUAUUUCGGUAUGUAAAGCUCUAUCAGCAGGGAAGAAAGAAAUGACGGUACCUGACUAAGAAGCCCCGGCUAACUACGUGCCAGCAGCCGCGGUAAUACGUAGGGGGCAAGCGUCAUCCGGAUUUAAUGGGGGUAAAGGGAGCGUAGGCGGCGAUGCAAGUCUGAAGUGAAAGGCGGGGGCCCAAACCCCGGACUGCUUUGGAAACUGGAUGGCUGGAGUGCAGGAGAGGUAAGUGGAAUGCGUGGUGUAGCGGUGAAAUGCAUAGAUAUUAGGAGGAACACCAGUGGCGAAGGCGGCUUACUGGACUGUAACUGACGUUGAGGCUCGAAAGCGUGGGGAGCGAACAGGAUUAGAUACCCCGGUAGUC